Rhinolophus ferrumequinum (greater horseshoe bat) is the source of this 464-nucleotide non-coding RNA. NCBI's taxonomy places the organism in Eukaryota, Metazoa, Chordata, Mammalia, Chiroptera, Rhinolophidae. The record is from the annotation of a RefSeq genome assembly.
CAGCCCAGCCCUGACCCUGCAGCUGUGGGACAGGAGCCCCAGCCCCGGGAUCCCCAGGUGUCCCCAUUCCGUGGUCAGGACUGAGCACAGACGACACACCAUGGAGUUUGGGCUUAGCUGGGUUUUCCUUGUGGCUGUUUUAAGAGGUGUCCAGUGUGAGGUGCAGCUGGUGGAGUCUGGGGGAGGCUUGGUGCAGCCUGGGGGGUCUCUGCGCCUCUCCUGUGCAGCCUCUGGAUUCACCUUCAGUAGCUACUGGAUGAGCUGGGUCCGCCAGGCUCCAGGGAAGGGCCUGGAGUGGGUCUCAUACAUUAGUGGUAGUGGUGGUAGCACAUACUACGCCGACUCCGUGAAGGGCCGAUUCACCAUCUGCAGAGACAACGCCAAGAACACGCUGUAUCUGCAAAUACCAGCCUGAGAGCUGACGACAUGGCCGUGUAUUACUGUGCGAGGGACACAGUGAGGGG